Molecule: small nucleolar RNA, 145 nt
Organism: Mastomys coucha (southern multimammate mouse)
Lineage: Eukaryota; Metazoa; Chordata; Mammalia; Rodentia; Muridae
Product: small nucleolar RNA SNORA48
Exons: 1
Source: RefSeq, a predicted model, not a curated record
AGAACCUGACAAUGGACAAAGAGACAUCUUGUUGAUGGUGUUAUUCUUAUAUCAGUUAGAAACAAAGCAGUUGUUAGUCUUUUGCUCAUCCUAGCUUAAUGUCUAAUUUGAUGGCCAAAGCAGUUCUAUGUCUAGGAACACAUAA